GGGAUGCUCACCUUGGCAGCCCCGGUACUCAAAUUGGAACGACACAAAGAAGACUAUCAUGACUCCUGUGUGAAAAUAGCAUGCAAAUUUGUGAAGUACUUUAUAUUUAA
RNAcentral lists this small nuclear RNA (110 nucleotides) under Carlito syrichta (Philippine tarsier). The record is from RNAcentral. Lineage: Eukaryota; Metazoa; Chordata; Mammalia; Primates; Tarsiidae.